AUCGAACGCUGGCGGCAGGCCUAACACAUGCAAGUCGAGCGGAGCGGCGGACGGGUGAGUAAUGCCUAGGAAUCUGCCUGGUAGUGGGGGAUAACGUCCGGAAACGGGCGCUAAUACCGCAUCCUAUCAGAUGAGCCUAGGUCGGAUUAGCUAGUUGGUGGGGUAAAGGCCUACCAAGGCGGCGAUCCGUAACUGGUCUGAGAGGAGUAUCAGUCACACUGGAACGGAGAAACGGUCAAGACUCCUACGGGGGGCAGCAGUGGGGAAUAUUGGACAAUGGGCGAAAGCCUGAUCCAGCCAUGCCGCGGGUGGGAAGAAGGUCUUCGGAGGGUAAAGCACGUUAAGUUGGGAGGCGUUACCAACAGAAUAAGCACCGGCUAACGUCGUGCCAGCCGCCGCGGUAAUAC
Molecule: ribosomal RNA, 407 nt
Filed under: uncultured bacterium
Lineage: Bacteria
Description: partial 16S ribosomal RNA
Rfam family: Bacterial small subunit ribosomal RNA
Source: RNAcentral